GUGCGUUUAAAGCGCAGACACUGACAGCAAGUCUUCCAGUCUCUCCAGUAUAACUUAAGUGACAUGCCAGCAAGAGAUGCAAUUUGGUCCCUCAACAGUGUUAAGUGAGUAGAAAUCUUAGGAAUCAAAAAGAAAAGGAAUACCAUGUAGACUGAAUUCCAGCUUACUACUUACCACUUAAAUCUGUUAUUUGAAAGAAUAACUUCUAAAAAUCAAAGUUUAUCUAACCACUGAAACAAACAUUGACAUCGGCCAGAUUCCACUCUCAUAUGACAAUCAAUGACAGACUUUUUCAAUCUGCCAAAAACUGGACUGGAAUUGCAAACAUUCAUUUGGCCACCUUGGAGGAGAAACUGAACAAAUAGCAGCAACCCCCUCUUCCAGAAUGUGAGAGCUCCCUCCACCUAAGAGCUAAAAGAAGCAAAUGCAAAGUUUUUCACUGGUUUUAGAGAAAUAAUGCUUUAGAUAUAAGCAAGCAUCACCUAUAGAAUUAGGUGAGCCCUGUGCCCAUGAAUCUAGUCCUUUCUACCUCUGAUCACUUGUUCAGUACAGUCUUAUCUGCUAACUUCCCUAAAGUAAUUUAUUUACCAAUUACAAUGGAAAAACCCAAGACAAUAUUCUCAGAAGACUUCAGAACCCAAGUUCUCCUCCUUUACACGCUCAGCUACUAAGAAGGCUUUCGUUUCCAUUAAUCCAGUAUUUAACUGAACAAAUUUUUAAGCCCUUAUCACCAACAUAAAGGUGCAGUAGAAAGAAAAUGAGUAUAACACAGUUCCCAUUACCAUCAAGCUUAUGGUUAUGAAGUGUGUAUGGGAGAGAUGGGAGAACCAUAUCAUAUGGUACACUAUGAUAAGAGUCACAGGACCGCCUGUUCAGGCUCUUCAUCUAAGGAGAAACAUACGUGCAGACAGAGCGACCUACAGUCUGUGCUACAACGACAUCUUCCACGCAUCCUGAGCUCGGUGUUACUUACCCUACAGUGGAAAUCCAAAUAGUCCAAAUAUCAACCAGCUGUUUCAGUGGGUAUGAAAAAUGGGACAGAUAAUCCAAAGCAGCCUUACUAGUAAUUAACUAUUGCUUCUACAAUGUAUUAUGAUUCAUCAAAGCUUUUAAUCAUUUAUAUUUUGCUUACACUAUUAAUAAAACUACAAUAUGCCCUGAGAACAUAGUAAAUUCUAGAGAAAUGCCUAUUUAAG
RNAcentral lists this long non-coding RNA (1196 nucleotides) under Homo sapiens (human). RNAcentral's name for it is "HSALNT0322726". The record is from RNAcentral. Lineage: Eukaryota; Metazoa; Chordata; Mammalia; Primates; Hominidae.